GCUAAUACCGGAUAACAACAGAUGAUGCCUAUCAACUGUUUAAAAGUAUGGUUCUGCUAUCACUCUUGGAUGGACCUGCGGUGCAUUAGCUAGUUGGUAGGGUAACGGCCUACCAAGGCGAUGAUGCAUAGCCGAGUUGAGAGACUGAUCGGCCACAUUGGGACUGAGACACGGCCCAAACUCCUACGGGAGGCAGCAGCC
This 201-nucleotide ribosomal RNA is filed under the name uncultured Lactobacillus sp. RNAcentral describes it as "partial 16S ribosomal RNA". It matches the Rfam family "Bacterial small subunit ribosomal RNA", at positions 162 to 355 of the family's 1533-position model. Lineage: Bacteria; Bacillati; Bacillota; Bacilli; Lactobacillales; Lactobacillaceae. The record is from RNAcentral.